CAGGACACAUUUGAACAUCGACAUUUCGAACGCACAUUGCGGUCCGUGGAGAAACAUCCAGGACCACUCCUGUCUGAGGGCCG
Molecule: ribosomal RNA, 83 nt
Filed under: Cacyreus marshalli (geranium bronze)
Lineage: Eukaryota; Metazoa; Arthropoda; Insecta; Lepidoptera; Lycaenidae
Description: partial 5.8S ribosomal RNA
Source: RNAcentral